GACGAACGCUGGCGGCGUGCUUAACACAUGCAAGUCGAACGGAAAGGCCUCUUUCGGGGGGUACUCGAGUGGCGAACGGGUGAGUAACACGCGAGUAACCUGCCCUUGACUUUGGGAUAACUUCCGGAAACUGGGGCUAAUACCGGAUAGGAGCUCCUGCUGCAUGGUGGGGGUUGGAAAGUUUCGGCGGUUGGGGAUGGACUCGCGGCUUAUCAGCUUGUUGGUGGGGUAGUGGCUUACCAAGGCUUUGACGGGUAGCCGGCCUGAGAGGGUGACCGGCGACAUUGGGACUGAGAUACGGCCCAGACUCCUACGGGAGGCAGCAGGGGGGAAGAUUGCACAAUGGGUGGAAGCCUGAUGCAGCAACGCCGUGUGCGGGAUGACGGCCUUCGGGUUGUAAACCGCUUUCGCUCAUGACGAAGCUUUGUGUGACGGUAGUGGGUAAAGAAGCACCGGCUAACUACGUG
Molecule: ribosomal RNA, 467 nt
Filed under: uncultured bacterium
Lineage: Bacteria
Description: partial 16S ribosomal RNA
Rfam family: Bacterial small subunit ribosomal RNA
Source: RNAcentral